RNAcentral lists this ribosomal RNA (278 nucleotides) under uncultured bacterium. RNAcentral's name for it is "partial 16S ribosomal RNA". It matches the Rfam family "Bacterial small subunit ribosomal RNA", at positions 506 to 784 of the family's 1533-position model. The record is from RNAcentral.
UGCCAGCAGCCGCGGUAAUACGGAGGGGGUUAGCGUUGUUCGGAAUUACGGGCAUAAAGCGCACGUAGGCGGCGAGACAAGUGCAUGGUGAAAGCCCACGGCUUACCCGUGGAACUGCUGUGCAUACUGUUUUGCUCGAGGACGGUAGGGGAGAGCGGAACUCUUGGUGGAGCGGUGAAAUGCGUAGAUAUCAAGAGGAACACCAAAGGCGAAGGCAGCUCUCUGGUCCGUUUCUGACGCUGAGGUGCGAAAGCCAGGGUAGCGAACGGGAUUAGAUA